RNAcentral lists this ribosomal RNA (293 nucleotides) under uncultured bacterium. RNAcentral describes it as "partial 16S ribosomal RNA". It matches the Rfam family "Archaeal small subunit ribosomal RNA", at positions 455 to 747 of the family's 1478-position model. The record is from RNAcentral.
GUGCCAGCAGCCGCGGUAAUACCGGCAGCCCGAGUGAUGGCCGAUCUUAUUGGGCCUAAAGCGUCCGUAGCUGGCCGCGCAAGUCCAUCGGGAAAUCCACCCGCCCAACGGGUGGUCGUCCGGUGGAACCUGUGUGGCUUGGGACCGGAAGGCGCGACGGGUACGUCCGGGGUAGGAGUGAAAUCCCGUAAUCCUGGACGGACCGCCGGUGGCGAAAGCGCCUCGGGAGGACGGACCCGACGGUGAGGGACGAAAGCCAGGGUCUCGAACCGGAUUAGAAACCCGUGUAGUCC